AUUGAACGCUGGCGGCAGGCCUAACACAUGCAAGUCGAACGGUAACAGGAAGAAGCUUGCUUCUUUGCUGACGAGUGGCGGACGGGUGAGGAAUGUCUGGGAAACUGCCUGAUGGAGGGGGAUAACUACUGGAAACGGUAGCUAAUACCGCAUAACGUCGCAAGACCAAAGAGGGGGACCUUCGGGCCUCUUGCCAUCGGAUGUGCCCAGAUGGGAUUAGCUAGUAGGUGGGGUACCGGCUCACCUAGGCGACGAUCCCUAGCUGGUCUGAGAGGCUGACCAGCCACACUGGAACUGAGACACGGUCCAGACUCCUACGGGAGGCAGCAGUGGGGAAUAUUGCACCAUGGGCGCAAGCCUGAUGCAGCCAUGCCGCGUGUAUGAAGAAGGCCUUCGGGUUGUAAAGUACUUUCAGCGGGGAGGAAGGGAGUAAAGUUAAUACCUUUGCUCAUUGACGUUACCCGCAGAAGAAGCCCCGGCUAACUCCGUG
This 490-nucleotide ribosomal RNA is filed under the name uncultured bacterium. RNAcentral's name for it is "partial 16S ribosomal RNA". It matches the Rfam family "Bacterial small subunit ribosomal RNA", at positions 30 to 507 of the family's 1533-position model. The record is from RNAcentral.